Molecule: ribosomal RNA, 250 nt
Filed under: uncultured Bacteroidota bacterium
Lineage: Bacteria; Pseudomonadati; Bacteroidota
Description: uncultured Bacteroidetes bacterium partial 16S ribosomal RNA
Rfam family: Bacterial small subunit ribosomal RNA
Source: RNAcentral
UGACGACCGGCGCACGGGUGCGUAACGCGUAUGCAACCUACCUCUUACUGGGGAAUAGCCCGAAGAAAUUCGGAUUAAUGCCCCAUAUGCUCGUACGGCCUCAUGGUCGAGCGAGGAAAGCUCCGGCGGUAAGAGAUGGGCAUGCGUCCUAUUAGCUUGUUGGUGAGGUAAUGGCUCACCAAGGCUACGAUAGGUAGGGGGCCUGAGAGGGUGACCCCCCACACUGGUACUGAGACACGGACCAGACUCC